UACGGAGGGUGCGAGCGUUGUCCGGAAUCACUGGGCGUAAAGGGCGCGUAGGUGGCCUGUGGAAGUCUGCGGUGAAAGCCCGGCGCUCAACGCCGGGUCGGCCGUGGAUACUCUCGGGCUUGAGCUUACUAGAGGCAGAUGGAAUUCCGGGUGUAGCGGUGGAAUGCGUAGAGAUCCGGAAGAACACCGGUGGCGAAGGCGGCCUGCUGGGCAGUUGCUGACACUGAGGCGCGACAGCGUGGGGAGCAAACAGG
This 254-nucleotide ribosomal RNA is filed under the name uncultured bacterium. Its description in RNAcentral is "partial 16S ribosomal RNA". It matches the Rfam family "Bacterial small subunit ribosomal RNA", at positions 524 to 776 of the family's 1533-position model. The record is from RNAcentral.